GAAAUGCGAUACGUAAUGUGAAUUGCAGAAUUCAGUGAAUCAUCGAAUCUUUGAACGCAUAUUGCGCUCUUUGGUAUUCCGAAGAGCAUGCUUGUUUGAGUAUCAGUAAACACCUCAACCUCCUCUUGAUUUUUCAAAAGGAGGGUGGACUUGAGCUAUCCCAACAACCUUUAUCGGUCGGCGGGCGGCUUGAAAUGCAGGUGCAGCUGGACUUUUAUCUGAGCUAAAAGCAUAUCUAUUUAGUCCUCGUCAAACAGGAUUAUUACUUUUGCUGCAGCUAACAUAAAGGAUAAUUGUCCUCUUUGCUGAUACUCAAAUCAAGUAAGACUACCCGCUGAACUUAA
This 344-nucleotide unclassified non-coding RNA is filed under the name uncultured fungus. Its description in RNAcentral is "sequence contains ITS1". The stretch from base 1 to 105 matches the Rfam family "5.8S ribosomal RNA", at positions 50 to 154 of the family's 154-position model. Lineage: Eukaryota; Fungi. The record is from RNAcentral.